RNAcentral lists this long non-coding RNA (3702 nucleotides) under Sus scrofa (pig). RNAcentral's name for it is "lncRNA (ENSSSCG00050061945.1)". The record is from RNAcentral. Lineage: Eukaryota; Metazoa; Chordata; Mammalia; Artiodactyla; Suidae.
AAGGCAAGCAAACCCAUUGUCAAAAUGAGGUCUUGCCCUGUUUUAGAAUACUCACAUACAGCAUAACUCUGUAGUUAUGUGACAUGUGUGAUGUUGUUACUAAGAGUGAAUCACCUGUAUUUAUGACUACGGAAGGGUUAAUAGAAGUCCUCUUUUUUUCAGGUAGAAAUGAUCUUUCCCUUGGUCAGCUCUGUGUGACAGAAUGGGUCAGAUCCAUUUUUGUGUGACGUUUUCAAUCUUAUUGUUUGUUUUAUAGUGAACUGAAUGUGCAUGCCACAAAUACAAAUCAAAAGUGUACAAUUUAAUUUUUACAAACUGAAACGAAUUGAGUAAUCAGCACAGAUACAAGGAAUGGACCAUUACCAAUAUCUGAAUAGCUUGCUACCUGGUCAUUGUUUCCUAACGAAGGUAAUCACGGUUCUGAUGUCUUACUCUUUGAAUGUGUUCUACUUCUUAAUGACUUUUUUAUUAAGGGAAAUAUGUGUGUAUACUCAUUUGUACCUGCAUUCUUUCACUCAAAUUUUUGAGAUCUAUUCAUUUUUUUAUAAGUACUAAUAUGAAUUUUUUAAUGUGCUUUCAGACAAUGGCUAUUAUUAAUGACUGCUAUGAACAUUCUUGUGCAUGUCUAUUGACAAACAUAUGUAAAAACUUUUGACUUCCCAGUGUACCCAGAGGAGUGGCUGAGCCACCUAGAGGCAUGCUUGAGUUAUUUCAGAUACUGUCGAACAAACUUCAGAAGUGGUGCCAGUUCACUCUGGACCAGUGUCUGAGAGAGCUGGUUGCACUACAUUGUUGUCAGCACUUGAUAUUAUCUCUUUUGAAUUUUAGCCAUUUUGGUGGGUGUGUAGUAGUAGUAAUUGUGGUUUUGAUUUGCAUUUCCCUAAUGCAAGUCAAUUCCUUAAACAUAUUUCAUGUAUUUAUUACCUUGAUGACAUCAUGAAAUGUGGGUUUAAAUCUUGUCCAUUUUGGCAGUUGAGCUGCUGGUCUGAUUUGUUAUGUAUUUUUAGUUCUUUACAUAUAGUAGAUAUGAGACAUUUUCCAAAUAUAUGAACAGCAGAUAUUUUUCCCCAUUCUUGCCUUUCCAAUCUCUUUGUGAUGUCUUUUGGUACACUUAGGCUCUUAAUUUUAAUGGAGUCCAAUCGAUUUUUCCUUUAUAGAUAGUGAUUUGGGCAUCUCGUUUAAGAAUUCUUUGCCUAACUCAAUAAUGUGAAGAUUUUUCCUAUGUUUUUUUUUUCUAAUGUCUAACAUAGUUAACAUUUCACAUUAAGAGCCCUAAUCAGUCUAAAAUAGAUUUUUGCAAAUGGUUUUGGUGGCGGCAAGAUUUAGUUAUGGUUAUCUAGUUGUCCCAGCACAUUCAUUUAUGACUGUCAUUCCCCUUACUACUGUGGUAGGACAUUUGUCACAACGACCUAUGUGGUCUGCCCUCUUCAGUCCAUUCCAUUAGUCCACUUGCCCAUGUGUGUUCAUGUGGCAUUGUCUCAAUUACUAUAUGUUGUUUUGCUUAAUACCUGAUAGUGAAAGUUCUCUAGCUUUGCUCUCCGUCAUGUUCUAUCAUAAAUGACUAGAUACAGUUCCCGGUGCUAUACAGCAGGAUCUCAUUGCUUAUCCAUUCCAAAUGCAACAGUUUGCAUCUAUUAACCCCAGAUUCCCAGUCCAUCCCACUCCCUCCUCUUCCCCCUUGGCAACCACAAGUCUGUUCUCCAAGUCCAUGAGUUUCUUCUCUGUGGAAAGGUUUAUUUGUGCCAUAUAUUAGAUUCCAGAUAUAAAUGAUAUCAUACGGUAUAUGUCUUUCUCUUUCUGACUCACUUCAAUUAGUAUGAGAGUCUCUAGUUCCAUCCAUGUUGCUGCAGUGAGGCAGUUUUUGCUUUUCCUAUUUUAAGCUGGAAAGACAAAGCUAAAAAUAAAAGUUUUAGCAAUCUCAUUCUAUAGCUACACAUUUAUACGGAAACAGAACUAGCUAAGUCUAUGAAUGCAGAAUUAAUCUGUUUUUCAAAAAUAAAAACAACUACACAUUUCUGCAUUUUAUAGAUGCAGAAAGAGAAAACUGAAUUGCAAUUUUAUUUUAUUUACUUAUUUAUUUGUUUAUUUUUGACGUCUCUUUAAGGCCACACCCAUGGCAUAUGGAGGUUCCCAGGCUACAGGUCGAAUCGGAGCUGCAGCUGCUAGCCUACACCACAGCUAUAGCAAUGCAGGAUCCAGGCCACAUCUGUGACCUACACCACAGCUAAUGACAGCACAGAUCCUUAACUCACUGAGCAAGGCCUGGGAUCGAACUUGUGUCCUCAUGGAUGUCAGAUUCUUUUCCGCUGAACCACGACAGGAACUCCUAUUGCAAUUUUAUUUUAAGAAGAAACAGAAACUUAGUCUUUUCUAAAAGGAUUUUAUAUUUAUUAACUGCUAAAGAAACAAACUGAUAAAUAAUACAAAUAUUUAUAAAAUGUUAUCAAUUAUCUGAUAAAAUCUCCCAAACUGAACCAAUAUAUUAUAAAUACAAUAUAUUAUAAAUAUAAUACAGCUUAAUCCUUUACAAUAUCAUAUAUGUUGGAUACAGUUUAUCUUUAGUAAUAACUUUUAAUUUCCUGGGUACACUGAGAGGUACUUCUGUUAUUGUGAGCAACUUUUCUCAAUAUUCAAUGGCAACAGAGCAGUAAGUUUUAAUCUACUCUUAAAGAGCUUUUCUGAGUGAUCCAUCAUUAAAAUCAAUUUUGAGAAAAAUACAGGAACAUUAGCCUUGAUGAAAAUUUCUUUAUAUAGAGUAUAAGGACUGCCUUUUUUUUCUUAGCAAGUGUUGAUCAGUCAAUUGGAGAAGUAACAUUUUAAAUUCUGAAAGUGUGAUGCACACUCCCGGGUCUGUUUUUAAAUGACAUCACAUAUGUUUCAAUCUGAUCAACUACUUCUUAGUGUCAAGUCAGCAGAACAAAAUAAAAAAUGAGGAACCUUAAAAUAGUAGUUGAUUUUCUUCCUUUAUUUUGCAUACUUUUCUACUGAAAUUGAUUGAAAUUGAAGUGGGAAUAAUUUUAGAACAUAUAUAAAACUUGGUCCUUUUUCUUCCCAGCUGUAGUUUCUAACCUCCAUUUUUAAGCUAGUUUUCAGUCAGUUACACAUAAAAUGAAAAUUCGCAUUUUUCCUCUGCCUAUCCUACUCCAAUAAAUGCUUGCCUCCCACAGAGCCUCACUUGAGCCCCAGUUAGUGGGAGUAUUUGAAAUAAAAUAGUUUUUCUUUUAAUCUCUCUUACCUGAAGGGUAUUUUUGCUUUGCUUUUCACAUUCAUUUCAAUUUCAUGGAGAAGCCCAAUGUCUCCCUGUAAAAUAAAUGACUAAAUGUUUUCUACUAAAUGUCACUGAUGUGCUUUCGAAUGGUGCCAGGAUAGAAAGUCUUAUCUUGAAUGUGGAAUGUUAGAUGAAAUGAAUAACAUCAUUUUCAUAUAAAAGCUGAUUUUCAUAAGACUAUAUACCAUUUUCUUUAGAACGCCUGAGGGCAGAAAGCAUGUCAAAUAUUAAUCAUAAUUUAUCACUGAAUUACAGCAUACUAUUAAAAAAUCUCAAUUAAUACCAAUAUUACCUAACCUGUGGCGUAUGGAAGUUCCCAGGCUUGGAGUCCAAUCAGAGCUACAACUACUGGCCUACAUCACAGCCACAGCAAUGCCAUAUCCUUAACCCACUAAUGGAGGCCAGGGAUUGAACCCACAUCCUCUUGGAUACUA